This is a long non-coding RNA of Vidua macroura (Pin-tailed whydah), 5124 nucleotides long. RefSeq lists it as uncharacterized. Lineage: Eukaryota; Metazoa; Chordata; Aves; Passeriformes; Viduidae. The transcript is spliced from 2 exons. The record is from RefSeq and is a predicted model, not a curated record.
UUUUUCCUCUGCACCUUCCCUGUAACAGUUGAAACAGCAGACUCCCAGGAGGCAGCUGUAGUGGUAAAGCCCUAUAUAAGGAUUGACAUAGCAGGGAAAAAUAAACCAUAUGCAUGAGGAAAGCCAGUGAGUAGCCCCAUGUGUGCCAGCUCUCUGGUUUGUUAUAUUAUCUGCCUCACUUCAAGCCCUGGCUGCAGUGAGAUAUAGGCUAAGAGAAAGGCUUGACAAAAUAUUUGGCAUUUGCAUUCAGAGGCCCAUGGAAAACUCUGGCCUUAAAGAGACAGUAAAUUUGUUCGUACUAGAGAACUAUGGAUAAAUUAUUCAUUUGCUGUGUGUUCCCUACUUGCUGCAGGACUCAGUAGUUGGUUUCCUCACAUUGCUGCUCUGCUCUGAGUCAGGUACCUUCUAGUCAGAUCUUAAUAUGGGCCCUGAAUGGAUGCUGAAGGGAUGUACCUGUGCAGAAGGAAACAGAAGAGGAUUAAGGAAGAGUUGUAGAGUGUUUGUUCCCCACUCCCUCCCACGCCCUGGAUAUCUCUGUAAAUCAGAGAGAGAAGGCAGAUGCUGAGUGAAGUGCUACUGAGGGGAAUUGAAACUUGAAUUUAUGCCUAUGAGAAGAUCUGGUUGGCCACUGGGGAGAUUUGCUUUUAAAUUCCUGCUCUGAUUGUUGAUGAGUUUGAAGUGAUGCUUAAAAAAAGGCUCUCUAUGGAAGAAGUAGCUUGGAAUAUUGAUCCCUAAAUUCAAAUUCACUUCAGGAAUUGCCCACAGUCAAGCAGUACAUAUGGUUAAGUUGCUUAUUUGGAAUGAAUUUGAGGAUAUUUUAAAGGAAAGUAUGAUGUGUUUCAGACCAUUUGGAAGAGCAUGGCAUCUAAUUUACGAGACUGUCUUGGCCAUUUUCUUGAAAUGUGCUAUAUUAGCAGAAGCUUAUUUUGCUGGGAAAGGGUUAAAGGAACAGUGCUAGCUCAAUGGGAAAGGUGAUCUCCUCUCUUAAGUUAGAAGAAAGACCCUGGUUCUCCUAAGGAUGACAGCUGAGUGUGUGGGCUGGAUGAGUUCAGGGAGAAAAAGAGAGUUUGGAGAUCAUGUUGCUCUUUAGGAUCUCUUUAAAAUAAAUUCAUACCAAAAUAGGAUUAAAUCUUUGGCUUUGCAGUUUGUAUAGUUACAUGUGCAAAUUCUGUUGCCUCCAACUCUGAGGCUCCACUUACUGUGUUUUAGAUGUGUUUCUUUGUGUAAAGUUUGCCUCAAAUCCCUGUCCACUGAUUUUCUAUGCUUGGAGGUAGAAAGGGCAGACACUUGUAUCUGCAUCAGUCCUGCCCUUGUUGCAGUUCAAAAGCAGUGAACAACUGCAAAGCCUUGGAGAUGAGGUGGAAGGAACUUACCUCAGGAAACAUGGGUAAGUUAUUCUGGAAAGAACCUGUCCCUGGAAGUUUCGAAACUGAUCCUUGCUGGGAGUGCUCAACUCUUGUGAUGGAGGGUGUGUUCUGAUGGUGAUUGUUCUCUAAGAACAGGAAAAAGGGAUUUUUCUCAGAUGAGUUGUCUCAGGGAAGUAAGAUGAAUAAACACAAGGGAGCCUAUAGUUUUUACAAGAGUGAAAGGUUAAGCUAAAGUUAAUGGAGGAGCCUAGAUUUAAGCUACACAGAUUCUGACUGUCUCUACAGAAUAGUUGUCUCUUAAGAUUGCAUGCUUUAUUUUUUCUACAGUAGCCACCCAGCCCAGGUUAACAGUUACUCUGGUUGAGAGCAUUCCCUCUUGCACCUACAGGGAAUACAAGAUGCAUAUGCCUGCACAGCAGUGCCCUGAGGAGCUGUGGGAGCACAGAGCUCACUGUAGGCUGAUUUACCCAUUCACUCAGUAUCUCUACAGUGUGCUUCUGUGACAGCAGUCUAGACAUACCCAUGUUGGUAUAAGUCACCUUUAUGUAAGUCAAACUACACACACUAGGGCUUUUACUGCAAAUAAACUGUCUCUCUGUUUAAAGAUCAUAUCCUUAACCAACAGAGCCAUAUCAUGCACACUGUUAAAAUUCUUAGACCACACCUACGAAAUAUUGUGCAGAGCAUUCAGUGAAAGCAUGCUUUCUUGUUUUGUUUAAUUUGAAAACUCAUUAGGCAACACAAUUAUUACUGGUUUAUUAAAGAACUUAGAAGGUAGCACUUUAAAGUAAGACUGACAAGUGAGAAUUCAUGUUGUAGAACUGCUUCAUGGCCAGUUCCAGUUUCCAUAGCAACAGUUAUGGCAGUAAAAGGUAGGUAAGGAAAAUGGAAUUUUUAAAAGCAGUUGGCAUUUCUACGUUACCUUAAAAAGGUAAAUUUCCAUAGAAAUGCAGCACCUGAGAACAAAAAUUACCUAAGAAUCUCAAUAUUAUAUUCUAGCAAAAUGCACGGUGAUUGCUUUUCUGGUGAGGAAACAAAGGAACAGCUUUACUUUCAGUCCCUGUCCUCUGCUUAUGUAAGAGAAGAGAUGAGGUUGCUUCAUACCUCAGUUUCCCCCUUCUGUAAAUUGGGAAUAAUACAACUCCCUGUUUAGGUCAUAAGCCUCAAUUUUUUUGUAGUCCAAGUCAUUAAAAGCUCUAUGGGAGCUAUUAGAGAAAAACUGUAUGGCUGUGUGGGAGAGAGUGAAUGGAUAGAUGCUGGAGUGGGACUUAGGAAAAGUUGUUCUUCUAUUAGUACUAAUAGCUUUGUAUUUUUCUGCCUCUUUUUCCAUGCAUAUUGCUUUGCUUGUCUUGUCAUCUUUCUCUCCAAGGCCUAUGAGGCAAUGAUGGUCUCCCUGUUUUUAUCAUAUUUUUUCUGGAAUCCUGUUUCCUCUUAUGACUUCUUAGAUGACUUAAUAAAAAUAGAAAUCCAGAUAAAUGAGUUCUGAGUAAUCUUGUUCUGAAAUCCUUGGAUUGUAAAUUUGGACCCAUGAGGACAUGCAUUUUACACAACCUGCCUGGGAAAUGAAGAUUUACUUUCAAUAUAGUAAAUGACCAAGUUAAAUAUUGGUGACAUGACUAAAAGCUGUUACUGUUUUGGAUCUAUGUAUAUUUGUGUAUUCCAGUGAUGAACAACAUAAAUAGGACUUGCUAAUUCAUUAUUCAAAGUGGGAAUUCAUUAAUGAGCAGCCAGUGAGGCAUGGAGCCACACAGAGAAUUAGGAGACAAAGUACUGGAAAUCUGUUUGUUAAAGAAAUGCUGUUUGGUUUACUUUGAGAGUAAGCUGAUCCUGUGGGGAAAAGAUGUGCCUAGCAAAGAUUUGUAUCUUUAUACUUACCUCUAAAUGGGAAAGGGAGCAAGUUCAGAUCCCAUGGGCACCCUGAAUUUUGAAACUUCCUGUCAGUGCAGCGCUAUGUUCUUUAUUGCUGUCUUUCAGCACAGUCUCCAGUCCUCCUGCCCCAACUCUCCAGGCUAGAGCAGAAAAAAAAGUUCAGCCACAAAGAUAAAAGAAUAGUUACAAUAAUUGGUUACCAUCCUCCAGGAGUCCCAGCAUUACAGCAACAUUUUUGUGGAUCCUUGUGGGCAGGAGGGAAAUGCUGAGCCAAGGAUCUUGGGUUUCAUUCCCAGCAAUAUACCCUGUCAAGCACAGAGACUUUCUCCCUAAUUUCUUUCAUCUAUUCCUGAACUUCACUCUCCCCUCUGACUCGAUUCUCGGGCCCUUUAUUUCAUUCACAGUCACAGAUCCUGUCAAAAUCCCUUCCUCUAUUUUGUUCCCUUUAUCUUUCCUAACUCAAAUAUCCUUGUCAGCAUUUUGCAGUUGAAACUUUCAGAAUAAUCCCCUUGCCUAACUGACUUGACACUGUUCACAGCCCGUUCUGAUUCCAGCAGUCUGUCCUUUGCUCCUUGUCUAGGCACCAGAAAGGCAACUUUCUUCCUGAUGUAGUUUGCAGCAGGAAAGAGCUGCAAUUUCAGGAAAGCAACACUCCUUCCACCCCACCCUCCUGAAGAUUUAGUAGCACCCUAAAUAUUCUAGUGGUGGUUUUUUUGCAGGUAUCCAAGUACAAAAAAACUAUAAUUAAAAAAUAAGAGUCGUGUCUUGCCCAAACCUGAACAAGCAGAAGUCACGCCCCUGAUAGAAGCUAUCUGCCUCUCCCUGCCACUUUCAUGUCCUUGCAGAUCUCAUUGCAGACAUGAUCUGUAAAGUUGAUGUGGACUUCUAGCUUGUGUGUCUCCUGGUUGGUGUAUCUCUUUUUAGCCUGUUUUUUUCUGAGAAAUUGUAACUCUAUUCUGAUGUGAUUGUACCAUGUGUCUGGGCAUUGGUCAACCUCUGUCCCACCACCCUAAGUGACUUUGGCUAGUUAAGAGGUGUGAAGGACCCUGAACUGUUAUGGUCUGGAACAUUUGUAGGAAAUGGAUGCGCUGAUAGAAUAGGGAAGCCCAAAUCAGUGCCUCCCUGAAAGGGAAGGAAGAAAGUCAGACAACACCAGAGAAACCACACAUGGGACAAUCCCAAAGAACCUGUUCCUGUAACUUAAGGUGCCACAAGAAGUACUUGUUCUGCAAGUGCUCUUUUAAGAAAUGAUUGGACAAUUUUUGCAGAAGUUUCCUGACAGAGAUUGCUCUAAGACAGUCAUGAUGGCAAACUGCAAAUCCAUUAAAAUCUGGUAAAGCUGCACUGGGCUGCAAAGUUGAGCAACUGAUUAUUAAUGAUGCCACCAGCCCAUUUCCACUAAUAUCUUUUAAUAUGAUAUGGAGGCUAUACUAAUCUAGUCACAGCAAUUUACAAGUUGAAACCAGCCCAGAUCAACAAGAUUGCCUGAGAAUAACACAGCCAGGAAUUUGCCAGUGAAAGAAAUAACCUAAAGGAACGAUUUUCAGUAAGUGUUAACUACUGAACACUGCAGUGCCAAUUAACCUGGCACAGCAUGUCCUACAGCUCUUGUUUUAGCUUGCUUUUUUAUUAUUCACUGGAAGAAGGCACACUUCCCUACCAGCUAGAACUGGAGCUCUCUGCCACCUUCACAUCGCUCUGCUGGAAACAAGAGGAUAAAGCAAAAAUGUGCUAUUUUGAGAAUAGUGAGCAUGCUGAAGUCAGGAAUAGCAUCUGGGAAGAAACCCGAGGAAUGUCAAUCCAAACCUGUGAUCAGUUUGGUAAACUUCAGCUGUCUCCAAUGUAAGCCUGAAACGCAUAUCAUAAAUAAAGAAAAGUGUGGCUUGGG